GACGAACGCUGGCGGCGUGCUUAACACAUGCAAGUCGAACGGAAAGGCCCUGCUUUUGUGGGGUGCUCGAGUGGCGAACGGGUGAGUAACACGUGAGUAACAUGCCCUUAACUUUGGGAUAACUUCUGGAAACUGGGGAUAUUACCGGAUAGGAGCUCUUGCUGCAUGGUGGGGGUUGGAAAGUUUCGGCGGUUGGGGAUGGACUCGCGGCUUAUCAGCUUGUUGGUGGGGUAGUGGCUUACCAAGGCUUUGACGGGUAGCCGGCCUGAGAGGGUGACCGGCCACAUUGGGACUGAGAUACGGCCCAGACUCCUACGGGAGGCAGCAGUGGGGAAUAUGGCACAAUGGGCGGAAGCCUGAUGCAGCAACGCCGCGUGCGGGAUGACGGCCUUCGGGUUGUAAACCGCUUUCGCCUGUGACGAAGCGUGAGUGACGGUAAUGGGUAAAGAAGCACCGGCUAACUACGUG
Molecule: ribosomal RNA, 468 nt
Filed under: uncultured bacterium
Lineage: Bacteria
Description: partial 16S ribosomal RNA
Rfam family: Bacterial small subunit ribosomal RNA
Source: RNAcentral